AGUGAACGCUGGCGGCAGGCCUAACACAUGCAAGUCGAGCGGCAGCGCGGGGGCAACCCUGGCGGCGAGCGGCGGACGGGUGAGGAACACAUCGGAAUCUACCUUGUCGUGGGGGAUAACGUAGGGAAACUUACGCUAAUACCGCAUACGACCUACGGGUGAAAGCGGCGGACCGCAAGGCGUCGCGCGAUUGGAUGAGCCGAUGUCCGAUUAGCUAGUUGGCGGGGUAAAGGCCCACCAAGGCGACGAUCGGUAGCUGGUCUGAGAGGACGACCAGCCACACUGGAACUGAGACACGGUCCAGACUCCUACGGGAGGCAGCAGUGGGGAAUAUUGGACAAUGGGCGCAAGCCUGAUCCAGCCAUGCCGCGUGGGUGAAGAAGGCCUCGGUUGUAAGACC
RNAcentral lists this ribosomal RNA (400 nucleotides) under uncultured bacterium. RNAcentral's name for it is "bacterial SSU rRNA". It matches the Rfam family "Bacterial small subunit ribosomal RNA", at positions 30 to 432 of the family's 1533-position model. The record is from RNAcentral.